CAGUAGCCGCGGGAAUACGUAGGUGGCGAGCGUUGUCCGGAUUUAUUGGGCGUAAAGGGAGUGUAGGCGGUCUUUUAAGUCUGAUGUGAAAGCCCACGGCUCAACCGUGGAGGGUCAUUGGAAAUUGGGAGACUUGAGUGCAGAAGAGGAGAGUGGAAUUCCACGUGUAGCGGUGAAAUGCGUAGAGAUGUGGAGGAACACCAGUGGCGAAGGCGACUCUCUGGUCUGUAACUGACGCUGAGGAGCGAAAGCGUGGGGAGCGAACAGGAUUAGAUACCCGCGUAGUCCCUGUCUCUUAUAC
Molecule: ribosomal RNA, 301 nt
Filed under: uncultured bacterium
Lineage: Bacteria
Description: partial 16S ribosomal RNA
Rfam family: Bacterial small subunit ribosomal RNA
Source: RNAcentral